RNAcentral lists this transfer RNA (89 nucleotides) under Natranaerobius trueperi. It matches the Rfam family "tRNA". Rfam says of the family: Transfer RNA (tRNA) molecules are approximately 80 nucleotides in length. Their secondary structure includes four short double-helical elements and three loops (D, anti-codon, and T loops). The record is from Rfam by way of RNAcentral. Lineage: Bacteria; Bacillati; Bacillota; Clostridia; Natranaerobiales; Natranaerobiaceae.
GGAGAGAUGGCCGAGUCUGGCUGAAGGCGCUCGACUCGAAAUCGAGUAGGCAGUUAUCUGCCUCGUGAGUUCAAAUCUCACUCUCUCCG